GCUCACGCGGCGGCAGACGGCGUGGGUGGGGCUCCUGCCAACGGCCGCUCUGUGGGAGCGGGGGGGAGCAAGGCGCCGGCUGCGGGGAGGCCUCGGCUGCGUGCCGCUUCGCCGACCGCCCACCGGAGAGGCGGCACGCCAGGAGGAACGGCACUGCUCCGCGCCGGUUGGCGGCGGCCCGCUUAUGUGGAGGUCGGGGCUGUGCCGGGCAGGCUUCUCGUUCCAGGCGAAAUAAAUCUGUGUGAUGAGGAUGCUGUGCUUGGCAUGCAGCGCUGA
Molecule: long non-coding RNA, 276 nt
Filed under: Apteryx owenii (little spotted kiwi)
Lineage: Eukaryota; Metazoa; Chordata; Aves; Apterygiformes; Apterygidae
Description: lncRNA (ENSAOWG00000018822.1)
Source: RNAcentral